RNAcentral lists this transfer RNA (72 nucleotides) under Ictidomys tridecemlineatus (thirteen-lined ground squirrel). Its description in RNAcentral is "Spermophilus tridecemlineatus (thirteen-lined ground squirrel) tRNA". It matches the Rfam family "tRNA". Rfam says of the family: Transfer RNA (tRNA) molecules are approximately 80 nucleotides in length. Their secondary structure includes four short double-helical elements and three loops (D, anti-codon, and T loops). Lineage: Eukaryota; Metazoa; Chordata; Mammalia; Rodentia; Sciuridae. The record is from Rfam by way of RNAcentral.
UAGAGUGUAGUUCAGUGGUAGAACACUUGCCUCGUAUGCACAAGGUCCUGGGUUUAAUCCCUAGCACUUCAA